CUUCCAAUGCUCCUUGUCCAUAAGCUGAGCACCUUCCACCCGGUAGUCCUCCAUUAGCACCAUGUCACCUCCUCCUAACUGCAGCUGUGCUCUCAAAGGCUGUGGCAUGGCAAACUUGUGAAAGAACCUCAUCACAAGGAUUACUGUCCUAUUAUUGUUGUUGUUAUUGUUUUUAUUACUAUAUCUCCAGUCCAGUGUUGCAUCUGAAAUGAAAUGCUCAGGAAGAUGAAUGAACAGCCCUUGCAAUAAAUAGAUACAGAGACUUCUCCAAGAGGUGGUUCCCAGGUGGAUCCUUGAGAUCUGAUUGCAGUGUUUGUGUUACGCCUCCCACUGGCGUGCUGACCUGCCCUGAGAGAAGUCUCUGCUGCAGGAUCAAAGUGAGAAGGAAUUUGCUUCACCUCAGAGUAAAUGCUUUUCCUAGAAGAGUUAUUUGGAGCACAUUUGCAAUGUAUUGCAAAAGAAUUCACACUUUGAGAAGGAGAUUCAGUCUUUCUAGGCCUACACAGGAUAGAUUCUGUCCUGGCUGCUGCUUUGGGGAAAGUCUUUUGUUUAAAGGACAUCUCUGCAAAUCAAGAAAUGAGAGUUUUGUCAUCAGCUGUGUCAGUGACCAAAGAAGAAGUCAUUUUGUCCAGACACUUGAAGACUUACUUGAAGGAAAACCAUGA
This 665-nucleotide long non-coding RNA is filed under the name Phasianus colchicus (ring-necked pheasant). RNAcentral describes it as "lncRNA (ENSPCLG00000004371.1)". Lineage: Eukaryota; Metazoa; Chordata; Aves; Galliformes; Phasianidae. The record is from RNAcentral.